AAAAUUUCAGAAGAUAAGACGGAAAAACCAAUAUAUAGCACAUUCAUGGUUGGCAUGUCUUUCUUAAUUAGAUAGGGGUAAGCAUCUGACCAGUUACUGUUAUUACCCCUGGAACUAAUUAAUGUUUUCCACGGUAGCACCCAGAUUUAAACAUGAAGUUCAACAUUCACUUUUUAAUAAAGAAAAGGUCUAUUAGUAGCCUCAGAUGAGUCAGUUAGGCCUUUAACAUUUCUAUAGAAAAAAUUGAGUAGUUUUAAUCCACUAACUAUUUAAAUUUGGCACAAAAUGUCCUGUAAUGAAGUUGUCCUUUAAGUUAACUUUUGCAGAGUGAUAGCAGAUAUUAAACCCCCUCAAGAUACAGAAUUUUCACAUAUUAUUUUCAUGUUUAUUUUUUAUAAGUUCCAACAUUUGAUACAAACUAACCCUUCCUCACCCCAUCGAACUACUACCUGCGCCAUGAACUCGAUGGUAUGAGAGCCAACGAUAAGAACAAAG
This 495-nucleotide long non-coding RNA is filed under the name Setaria viridis. RNAcentral's name for it is "long non-coding RNA (SVIR_LNC009676)". Lineage: Eukaryota; Viridiplantae; Streptophyta; Magnoliopsida; Poales; Poaceae. The record is from RNAcentral.